Portunus trituberculatus (swimming crab) is the source of this 2377-nucleotide long non-coding RNA. RefSeq lists it as uncharacterized. The record is from RefSeq and is a predicted model, not a curated record. NCBI's taxonomy places the organism in Eukaryota, Metazoa, Arthropoda, Malacostraca, Decapoda, Portunidae. The transcript has 3 exons.
ACGGAAACAUGUGUGGCGAAAAUGAAAUUAUAAAACUUCAUUAUGGCUACGGUAAAAAAAAUCCAGUGGAUCGUGUCUACUUCUACGACAAAAGGAGCCCUAACAUUGCCAAGCAUUUAACUCCAGAUGUAUCCAUUAUCCUACCAAGCAGUUUUCAGGUAAAGUUUCGCCGUGUGAUAAAAAAAGAUGAAGCUUAAGAAUAACCGUAUCGGAAAUAAACCAGUAGUUCAGCAAUCUGUGGAGACAACCGUACAGCUGGACAUCCAGACCACGACAAGACCUUGGCUAAUCAAGAUUGACCAUGGUUUGUGAAAGUAUUGCCAUCCACCAUGGAAUAACAACGUCUGCACCUACUUAAUGAUCGGUUUAUUUAGUAUAGUAUACUUGAUACAUGAACAUACAUGAUCAGGAGGGAUCUGACAUUACGAUAUCAACUUCAGAAUCAAAUACAGAAGUGAAUCAAUAUAUGUGUCAAGGCAUUGUAUAUGUAAACCACUUGCGUGAUCGUGUGAGUUUAUUUGCAUGUUAUAACAACAGUCAAAUGCAAUUACAUAAACUGGUGUAUAGUGUUGUAAUAUGUUAUAUUAUUGUACUGUUAUGACUUAUAAAUCCAAGCAUUUCUGGUGAGGUGCUGGUGUAGUAUUUGUAGCUGCCCAGUCUUUGUUACAACACUGCUAUGAACACUUUAAUAGGUUUAUGUUAGAACAAAGCUUCAACAAUGCUGCUGUGGCCAACAGCGUACAUGUAUUGUAAACAUUAGCUUCUAAGUACGCGCAGUUCGCGAACGGAUAACCGCAUACAAGAGGAAAGCAAAAAACUCUAAACAUUUCGUUAUCAAUAUGCCUGACGACUUGAUUAAAAGAUUAGUCAAACAUAAGGUUAAAAUAAAUCCUUUAUAAUGUUCAAAACAGUCAGGAUUCCCUUUGUUAAAAAGAGCAUAUAUUUAUGAAGAAGGGAACAGCUAUGACCGCGUAUUAAAACAAACUUCCAUUCUACUUCCCAUUACAUGACUUAUUAGCCAGAAGUGUGUAUGUGUUAGUGGUUUGUAUAUAGAAUCAAGAGUUCUAAGAGUGGAUAUGCUAGAACUGAAAAUUGAAUGAAUUAAAUUGAAUUCUAAUUCAAAGUUGUAUUAUUGGCACCAUGAGCGUAGUGAUUUUACCGUUACAUAAUAAAAAAAAAAUAAUAAUAAUAAUUUAGGAACUUUUUUUUUUUUCUUUUUUAGUGGAACAUAAGAAAUUUAAGGAAGCUGCAAUAGAGACCAUCAGGCCUACACGUGACAGUCCUUGUGUGAACAAAAGUACCCAAAUUAACCCAUCAUCCUCACCCAUAAAUUUGUCUAAUGAUUUUAAAGCUCCGUUUUGUCUCAGCAUUAACAUCAUGACUACUGAGCCUGUUCCAUUUAUCAAAAAAUCUGUCAGAGAACCAGCUUCUUCCCACUUCCUUAAGGUUUACCUUAAUUUCUCUAGAUUGUUCCGGUCAUAUUUGGUUCUUUCCUGGCUACUGAUUCUAAGAGUUUUUCUCAUUUUCCCCUUCAUUAUAGCCCCUAUAACACUUAAAUACUUCUAUCAUGUCGCCUCUUUACCUGCAUCUCAAAUGAAUGCAAAUUUGUAUUUUCAGUCUUUCUUUUUAGACGUUUUCUUUUACACUGAUUCCAAUAGAUCCUUAUUCUUCCUACAUUGUGGGCCAGAACUGUACAGCAUAAUCUGACCGGCGCCAUAAAUAUAACUUUGGAAGUUAACCUUUUAACACUUUUAAAAACUGAAGUCACAUCCAAUAUGUGUUUGAAUCUGAAUCCUUUGUAUUCAUCCCAAUCUUUGUGUGUGUGUGUGUGUGUGUGUGUGUGUGUGUGUGUGUGUGUGUGUGUGUGUGUGUGUGUGAUAGUUCGUAAAUACGAAUCUUUUGUGGGAGCAAAUGACAUUUUCGUUAUUUAAAUAUUUAUCCUUGAUAUUUUCAGUUUUGCUUUCUUCCGUAACAGCCAUGCGGCUGUUAAAUUAUAGGCUACAAUACUUUGUUGUUUACUUUUUGGUACACGCGGUGAUAUUUCUCUUGUUAAAGGUGUCUGACGUAGAAUUGUAGUAUUGCAGUAUUCAAAGUGAAAUAUUUUUUUUCUUUAAAUUUCUUUCUUUCUCUGUUUAUCAUACAGUUUUUACUGUAUUUCUGUUAAUAAAGCAUACCAAAAGUCUGAAAAAAACGGCUUGUCUGCGGGAACAACUAUAUCGUAUUUGUAUGCCAGUUCUCUUCAAACGUUCAAUUUAUAAUGCUUGUUACAUAUCUAUCAUUUGAUUAUAUAAAAGUCAUCCAGUAUUUAUGCUAUAUUUAUUAAUGUGUGUGUUUUUUAUGCAAUAAAGGAUGCUGGCUAAGAGCAACAAAAAUAGAA